UAAACUGAGGCCGAAAGUUUAGGCCCCUAGCUGUUAAUUAGGAUAAAGCAGGAUAAAUACCUGCCAGUUUAG
This is a non-coding RNA of Gracilinanus agilis (Agile Gracile Mouse Opossum), 72 nucleotides long. NCBI's taxonomy places the organism in Eukaryota, Metazoa, Chordata, Mammalia, Didelphimorphia, Didelphidae. The record is from the annotation of a RefSeq genome assembly.